AGUGAACGCUGGCGGUAGGCCUAACACAUGCAAGUCGAACGGCAGCACAGUAAGAGCUUGCUCUUACGGGUGGCGAGUGGCGGACGGGUGAGGAAUACAUCGGAAUCUACUUUUUCGUGGGGGAUAACGUAGGGAAAUUUACGCUAAUACCGCAUACGACCUACGGGUGAAAGCAGGGGAUCUUCUGACCUUGCGCGAUUGAAUGAGCCGAUGUCGGAUUAGCUAGUUGGCGGGGUAAAGGCCCACCAAGGCGGCGAUCCGUAGCUGGUCAGAGAGGAUGAUCAGCAAGCUUGGAGCUGAGACACGGUCGAGACUCAUACGGGAGGAAGCAGUGGGGAAUAUUGGGCAAUGGGCCAAAGCGUGAUACAGCAAGACGGCGUGGGUUAAGAAGGCCUUCGGGUUGUAAAGCCGUUUUGUUGGGAAAGAAAAGCAGCAGGUUAAAACCCCGCGGUCCUGACGGUACCCAAAGAAUAAGCACCGGCUAACUUCGUG
Molecule: ribosomal RNA, 492 nt
Filed under: uncultured bacterium
Lineage: Bacteria
Description: partial 16S ribosomal RNA
Rfam family: Bacterial small subunit ribosomal RNA
Source: RNAcentral